Molecule: transfer RNA, 73 nt
Filed under: Podarcis lilfordi (Lilford's wall lizard)
Lineage: Eukaryota; Metazoa; Chordata; Lepidosauria; Squamata; Lacertidae
Description: tRNA.Lys
Source: RNAcentral
ACUGGGAUAGCUCAGUCGGCAGAGCAUGAGACUCUUAAUGCCAGGAUCAUGGGUUCGAGCCCCACCUUGGGCA